GUUGGGUAGGGGAGCGUUCUGUAAGCCUGUGAAGGUGUGUCGUGAGGCAUGCUGGAGGUAUCAGAAGUGCGAAUGCUGACAUAAGUAACGAUAAAGCGGGUGAAAAGCCCGCUCGCCGGAAGACCAAGGGUUCCUGUCCAACGUUAAUCGGGGCAGGGUGAGUCGACCCCUAAGGCGAGGCCGAAAGGCGUAGUCGAUGGGAAACGGGUUAAUAUUCCCGUACUUGGUGUUACUGCGAAGGGGGGACGGAGAAGGCUAUGUUGGCCGGGCGACGGUUGUCCCGGUUUAAGCGUGUAGGUGUGUGUUCCAGGUAAAUCCGGUUCACUUUAACACUGAGGCGUGACGACGAGGCACUACGGUGCUGAAGCAACAAAUGCCCUGCUUCCAGGAAAAGCCUCUAAGCAUCAGGUAACACGAAAUCGUACCCCAAACCGACACAGGUGGUCAGGUAGAGAAUACCAAGGCGCUUGAGAGAACUCGGGUGAAGGAACUAGGCAAAAUGGUGCCGUAACUUCGGGAGAAGGCACGCUGACACGUAGGUGAAGUGAUUUACUCAUGGAGCUGAAGUCAGUCGAAGAUACCAGCUGGCUGCAACUGUUUAUUAAAAACACAGCACUGUGCAAACACGAAAGUGGACGUAUACGGUGUGACGCCUGCCCGGUGCCGGAAGGUUAAUUGAUGGGGUCAGCGCAAGCGAAGCUCCUGAUCGAAGCCCCGGUAAACGGCGGCCGUAACUAUAACGGUCCUAAGGUAGCGAAAUUCCUUGUCGGGUAAGUUCCGACCUGCACGAAUGGCGUAAUGAUGGCCAGGCUGUCUCCACCCGAGACUCAGUGAAAUUGAACUCGCUGUGAAGAUGCAGUGUACCCGCGGCAAGACGGAAAGACCCCGUGAACCUUUACUAUAGCUUGACACUGAACAUUGAGCCUUGAUGUGUAGGAUAGGUGGGAGGCUUUGAAG
Molecule: ribosomal RNA, 957 nt
Filed under: Salmonella enterica subsp. enterica serovar Typhimurium
Lineage: Bacteria; Pseudomonadati; Pseudomonadota; Gammaproteobacteria; Enterobacterales; Enterobacteriaceae
Description: partial 23S ribosomal RNA
Rfam family: Bacterial large subunit ribosomal RNA
Source: RNAcentral